AGGAGUGGAGCCUGCGGCUUAAUUUGACUCAACACGGGAAACCUCACCAGGCCCGGACACCGGAAGGAUUGACAGAUUGAGAGCUCUUUCUUGAUUCGGUGGGUGGUGGUGCAUGGCCGUUCUUAGUUGGUGGAGCGAUUUGUCUGGUUAAUUCCGAUAACGAACGAGACUCUAGCCUGUUAACUAGGCGCACUUCCGACAUCUCAAUUGCCAAGCCGGUCCGGCGUUCGCGUCGCGAUCGCGCGCGGCUUUUACUGUCGGCGUACAAAUUAUUCUUCUUAGAGGGACAGGCGGCUUCUAGCCGCACUAGAUUGAGCAAUAACAGGUCUGUGAUGCCCUUAGAUGUUCUGGGCCG
RNAcentral lists this ribosomal RNA (355 nucleotides) under Aegus chrysomelinus. Its description in RNAcentral is "SSU rRNA". It matches the Rfam family "Eukaryotic small subunit ribosomal RNA", at positions 1172 to 1489 of the family's 1831-position model. Lineage: Eukaryota; Metazoa; Arthropoda; Insecta; Coleoptera; Lucanidae. The record is from RNAcentral.